CUGAUUUGAUCUUUAACAAUUGAACAUGAUAUGCUACAUUGCUCACCCCUAAGAAAUAAGAGUAUCAAAAUAUUUAAAAAUGUGAGUUUGCACAAAGCUAAAAAAGUAACUAUACGACUAAUUAAACUAAAUAUUUCUUAUUUUUAUGAACUCCAUGGUGCCUAACUGACAUCUACUCUAUUUUUGCUAUUUGAGAUCUGGUUUAUAAAGAUUACAUGAAAAAUAUUAAAAGUCUUAAUCAACAAGCUUAGAAAACUAAUGAUAAAAGAUUAAUAUUUUAUAACAAGACAAUAUUAUAACACGCGGUAUCAAAGUAAUAAUCAUCUAAUAUUUUAAAUUAACAAAAAAAAUAUAUAAGGCAUUGAAG
RNAcentral lists this long non-coding RNA (367 nucleotides) under Daucus carota (carrot). RNAcentral's name for it is "long non-coding RNA (DCAR_LNC004283)". Lineage: Eukaryota; Viridiplantae; Streptophyta; Magnoliopsida; Apiales; Apiaceae. The record is from RNAcentral.